Molecule: ribosomal RNA, 344 nt
Filed under: Crossaster papposus
Lineage: Eukaryota; Metazoa; Echinodermata; Asteroidea; Velatida; Solasteridae
Description: partial 12S ribosomal RNA
Rfam family: Bacterial small subunit ribosomal RNA
Source: RNAcentral
UUUAUUUUCCACCUGAGAACUACGAACUAACGUUUAAAACUCAAAGGACUUGGCGGUUUUUUAAAUCUUUCUGGAGGAGCUUGCUAUCAAACCGAUAAUCCACGAAACACCUUACCAAUCUUUGAAAAUACAACCUGUAUACCAUCAUCGUCAGCCCUACUCCUCAAGGAUAGUAUGCAAAAAGAGAUUCUCUCAUUACGUUAGAUCGAGGUGCAGUUUAUAGAUUGGGGAUAAGUGAGCUACAAUAAUAAAACAAAUAAAAUAAGAAUAUGGACAACUUAAUGAAAAAGAGUUACAAACAGAAUUCAGUAGUAAUGACUUAAAAGAAAAUAAGCAUGAAAAAA